RNAcentral lists this non-coding RNA (185 nucleotides) under Globisporangium ultimum DAOM BR144. RNAcentral describes it as "Pythium ultimum DAOM BR144 Bacterial large subunit ribosomal RNA". It matches the Rfam family "Bacterial large subunit ribosomal RNA", at positions 2727 to 2925 of the family's 2925-position model. The record is from Rfam by way of RNAcentral. Lineage: Eukaryota; Oomycota; Peronosporomycetes; Pythiales; Pythiaceae.
UUUAAUAGGCAUCGCCGAGUAGCUAAAUUUAUUUUGGAUAAUUACUGAAAGCAUCUAAGUAAGAAACCAUUCUUAAAAAUUUUUCAUAUGAAAACUGUAAAAGACUAUUACAUUGAUAGGUUUUAAGUGUAAGUAUCGUAAGGUAUUCAGCUUAAAAAUACUAAAAGUUUCAAAAUUUUAAAUAU